This 82-nucleotide transfer RNA is filed under the name Planctomycetes bacterium RBG_16_43_13. RNAcentral's name for it is "tRNA-Leu". It matches the Rfam family "tRNA". Rfam says of the family: Transfer RNA (tRNA) molecules are approximately 80 nucleotides in length. The record is from RNAcentral. Lineage: Bacteria; Pseudomonadati; Planctomycetota.
GGGCGAGUGGCGGAACUGGCAGACGCGUAAGAUUUAGGAUCUUAUGCCCAAAGGCGUGGAGGUUCGACUCCUCUCUCGCCCA